This 1246-nucleotide ribosomal RNA is filed under the name 'Prunus persica' phytoplasma. Its description in RNAcentral is "bacterial SSU rRNA". It matches the Rfam family "Bacterial small subunit ribosomal RNA", at positions 153 to 1399 of the family's 1533-position model. The record is from RNAcentral. Lineage: Bacteria; Bacillati; Mycoplasmatota; Mollicutes; Acholeplasmatales; Acholeplasmataceae.
GAAACGACUGCUAAGACUGGAUAGGAGACAAGAGGGCAUCUUCUUGUUUUUAAAAGACCUAGCAAUAGGUAUGCUUAGGGAGGAGCUUGCGUCACAUUAGUUAGUUGGUGGGGUAAAGGCCUAACAAGACUAUGAUGUGUAGCCGGGCUGAGAGGUUGAACGGCCACAUUGGGACUGAGACACGGCCCAAACUCCUACGGGAGGCAGCAGUAGGGAAUUUUCGGCAAUGGAGGAAACUCUGACCGAGCAACGCCGCGUGAACGAUGAAGUAUUUCGGUACGUAAAGUUCUUUUAUUAGGGAAGAAUAAAUGAUGGAAAAAUCAUUCUGACGGUACCUAAUGAAUAAGCCCCGGCUAACUAUGUGCCAGCAGCCGCGGUAAUACAUAGGGGGCAAGCGUUAUCCGGAAUUAUUGGGCGUAAAGGGUGCGUAGGCGGUUAAAUAAGUUUAUGGUCUAAGUGCAAUGCUCAACAUUGUGAUGCUAUAAAAACUGUUUAGCUAGAGUAAGAUAGAGGCAAGUGGAAUUCCAUGUGUAGUGGUAAAAUGCGUAAAUAUAUGGAGGAACACCAGUAGCGAAGGCGGCUUGCUGGGUCUUUACUGACGCUGAGGCACGAAAGCGUGGGGAGCAAACAGGAUUAGAUACCCUGGUAGUCCACGCCGUAAACGAUGAGUACUAAACGUUGGGUAAAACCAGUGUUGAAGUUAACACAUUAAGUACUCCGCCUGAGUAGUGCGUACGCAAGUAUGAAACUUAAAGGAAUUGACGGGACUCCGCACAAGCGGUGGAUCAUGUUGUUUAAUUCGAAGGUACCCGAAAAACCUCACCAGGUCUUGACAUGCUUCUGCAAAGCUGUAGAAACACAGUGGAGGUUAUCAGUUGCACAGGUGGUGCAUGGUUGUCGUCAGCUCGUGUCGUGAGAUGUUGGGUUAAGUCCCGCAACGAGCGCAACCCUUAUUGUUAGUUACCAGCGCGUAAUGGUGGGGACUUUAGCAAGACUGCCAGUGAUAAAUUGGAGGAAGGUGGGGACGACGUCAAAUCAUCAUGCCCCUUAUGACCUGGGCUACAAACGUGAUACAAUGGCUGUUACAAAGAGUAGCUGAAGCGCAAGUUUUUGGCAAAUCUCAAAAAAACAGUCUCAGUUCGGAUUGAAGUCUGCAACUCGACUUCAUGAAGUUGGAAUCGCUAGUAAUCGCGAAUCAGCAUGUCGCGGUGAAUACGUUCGCGGGGUUUGUACACACCGCCCGUCA